CAGGAGGGGGCGAGCGUUGUUCGGAAUUACUGGGCGUAAAGGGCGCGUAGGUGGCCUGUUAAGUCGAACGUGAAAUCCCCGGGCUCAACCCGGGAACUGCGUCCGAGACUGGCAGGCUCGAAUCCGGGAGAGGGAUGUGGAAUUCCAGGUGUAGCGGUGAAAUGCGUAGAUAUCUGGAGGAACACCGGUGGCGAAGGCGGCAUCCUGGACCGGUAUUGACGCUGAGGCGCGAAAGCCAGGGGAGCAAACGGGAUUAGAUACCCCGGUAGUCCUGGCCCUAAACGAUGAAUGCUUGGUGUGGCGGGUAUCGAUCCCUGCCGUGCCGAAGCUAACGCAUUAAGCAUUCCGCCUGGGGAGUACGGUCGCAAGGCUG
RNAcentral lists this ribosomal RNA (373 nucleotides) under uncultured organism. Its description in RNAcentral is "bacterial SSU rRNA". It matches the Rfam family "Bacterial small subunit ribosomal RNA", at positions 525 to 896 of the family's 1533-position model. The record is from RNAcentral.